GUUUUAAGUUCCUCGGCAUACACAUCACAGACAAACUGAAUUGGUCCACUCACACAGACAGCAUCGUGAGGAAGGCGCAGCAGCGCCUCUUCAACCUCAGGAGGCUGAAGAAAUUCGGCUUGUCACCAAAAGCACUCACAAACUUCUACAGAUGCACAAUCAAGAGCAUCCUGGCGGGCUGUAUCACCGCCUGGUAUGGCAACUGCACCGCCCUCAACCGUAAGGCUCUCCAGAGGGUAGUGAGGUCUGCACAACGCAUCGCCGGGGGCAAAUUACCUGCCCUCCAGGACACCUACACCCCCCGAUGUCACAGGAAGGCCAAAAAGAUCAUCAAGGACAACAACCACCCGAGCCACUGCCUGUGCACCCCGCUAUCAUCCAGAAGGUGAGGUCAGUACAGGUGCAUCAAAGCUGGGACAGAGAGACUGAAAAACAGGUUCUAUCUCAAGUCCAUCAGACUGUUAAACAGUCACCACUAACAUAACAGUGCUGCCAACAUACUGACUCAACUCCAGCCACUUUAAUAAUGGAAAAUUAAUGUAAUAAAUGUAUCACUAGCCACUUUAAACAAUGUCACUUAAUAUAAUGUUUACAUACCCUACAUUACUCAUUUCAUAUGCAUAUACUGUACUCUAUACCAUCUACUGCACUUUGCCAUCUUUAUGUAAUACAUGUAUCACUAGCCACUUUAAACAAUGCCACUUUUAUGUUUACAUACCCUACAUUACUCAUCUCAUAUGUGUAUAUACUGUACUCGAUACCAUCUACUGCAUCUUGCCUAUGCCGUUCUGUACCAUCACUCAUCCAUAUAUCUUUAUGUACAUAUUCUUUAUCCCUUUACACUUGUGUGUAUAAGGUAGUUGUUGUGAAAUUGUUAGGUUUCUCCAUUACUCGUUGGUUAUUACUGCAUUGUCGGAACUAGAAGCACAAGCAUUUCGCUACACUCGCAUUAACAUCUGCUAACCAUGUGUAUGUGACAAAUACAAUUUGAUUUGAUUUAGUAUGUACAAGCUGGAAGUAGAAGCCUAAGAGUUGCUGUUCACUAGUUACUCCAAUUAGGGGAGGGAUGGUAGACUCCAGUGUGAUGAGAGAGAAUUCUGCAACCUAUAGGUUUAAUGUAUAGUUAUUAAUGGACAAGUCAGAAAUGUCAACAAUGCUCAUCAUUGUACACACACACACACACACACACACACA
Long non-coding RNA from Oncorhynchus tshawytscha (Chinook salmon), 1194 nucleotides. NCBI's taxonomy places the organism in Eukaryota, Metazoa, Chordata, Actinopteri, Salmoniformes, Salmonidae. The record is from Ensembl.